GCGUAUACAAUCUGCCUUAUACAGGAGAAUAGCCCAGAGAAAUUUGGAUUAAUGCUCCAUAGUCUUUCUCUCUCGCAUGGGAGAGUUUGUAAAGCUUCGGCGGUAUAAGAUGAGUAUGCGUUCUAUUAGCUAGUUGGUGAGGUAACUGCUCACCAAGGCAACGAUAGAUAGGGGUUCUGAGAGGAUGAUCCCCCACACUGGUACUGAGACACGGACCAGACUCCUACGGGAGGCAGCAGUGAGGAAUAUUGGUCAAUGGACGCAAGUCUGAACCAGCCAUCCCGCGUGAAGGAUGACGGC
RNAcentral lists this ribosomal RNA (300 nucleotides) under uncultured Bacteroidales bacterium. Its description in RNAcentral is "bacterial SSU rRNA". It matches the Rfam family "Bacterial small subunit ribosomal RNA", at positions 115 to 415 of the family's 1533-position model. Lineage: Bacteria; Pseudomonadati; Bacteroidota; Bacteroidia; Bacteroidales. The record is from RNAcentral.